GUUGCCAGCCAGGGUGCAGGGAGGUCGUGCAGGCGCGUGCUCAGCACCCACAGGUUAACCUCCAUGCUGGGACUCCACACACAGCACCCAUUCCACCUCACACCAGCCUUGAAGGAAUAGAUCACAGUCCUCGUUUCACAAAAAUCAGAGAUCGGAAAGGUUGCCUGACGUGUCCAGGGUCACAUAGCAAAUAUGCUGCACAGCUGGGCUUCAAGUCCUGCCGGCCUCUGAAACCUUGUCUAAACCGGGGAGCUGAAAUGUGGCACAGGGCUUGGGGCCUUGAACCCUCACACAGCUGUCUCAGGGAGUCGCUCUGGGACUUCACGGAGCAGGAGGCACACAGAAAUGAGGCCACUCGGCCAUCCAGCAAGGCUGGAGCAGGGAUUUGACCCCACACCCUCCAAGGCCCUGUCCCUGCCACCAUGCUGCCUCUGCUGGCACUGAGAGGGAGGCCAAGUGCACCCAGGCCUGGGACUCCGGGAUGCUCAGCGAGAACCCACCUUUGCUUCUCUCAGGGGUGCCCCCUUCUUCCCAGAACUGCAGUAGAAUGUGGGAAGGAGACUGCGGGGGGAGGGGGGGAUCCCUUGCCAUCCCCCUGCCAGGGGAUCUGGGGCGAGUUUCUCCUUCUUUUAGAGUCUCCAUCCACAGUUACAGACAACUGGACUAGGUGAUCUCUAACCAGGCCUGAUUGUUUCCAGCUCAGAAAUACUGAGCUGGGGACUAGAGUCAUGGCUCAGUGGUAGAGCGCUUGCCUGGCAUGUGUGAGGCCUUGGGUUCCAUCCUCAGCACCACAAAUAAAUAAAUAAAUAAAUGAUCCAUUUAAAAAAAAUAAAUAAAAAGAAAAGAAAUACUGGGCUGAGUCAGGAGCAGGCCCAGCCUCAAGGCUGUUGGCUUUUGCCAAUUCAGGUGUUUGUCUGGAACACCCUAGCGACAAGGAAGGACUCAGGAGAGGGCAAGCCCAGGACUCCAGGAGGAAUUCCUCAGAGGAAAGGGCACUCACUGGUCUGAGAGUCAGAAACCAUUGUUGCUAGCCUUAUGUCUGCUGUGUAACUUUGGGUAUGUUGCUUGCCCUUUCUGGGCUUUAGUUUUCUCAUCAAGGAAAAUAGGGAAAUAUUCCCUGUUCCGUCUUCCCCUGGGAGGCUACUGUGAGCAGACAGCCAGAUGGGAAAGCACUUGUUCGGAAGCAAUAAAACCUCAACUCAUGUUGGCAAAUUAUUUUUCACCUCACUUUGUUCCCAAUUAAUUUGAGAAAUUUAGCUCUUGAUUAUGACAAUGAUUAGAAUUUCUGUGAAUCUCCUGGACAGAUCUACCUCCAGAGACCAGAGUAAGUGUCAGAUCACGAUAAUGAUAAUCACGAAUUGCCAUCUAUGUGCCAGACCCACACUGGCAAAGUGUGCCAGGACUGGUGAUACCCCCAUUCUGCAAAUAGGGAAACUGAGGCUCAGAACACUUAAAGAGUUUGCCCCCAUGGCCCAGCUAGGAGUCCCAUCCCGGUGUGUCCAGGUGUAAAACCCAGGCCCUAGACAGCGGCAGCACCACCUCUCAACCCCGGGCAGGCCCAUGUUCCCCCACUGCCCAAUAUAUGCCCCUGAGACAUUACCCCCGCCCCUGUGCCCAAGACUGCGCUGAAAGCAACAGUGUCCCCCUCCUGUGUGUGACCUCUGACCUCCCUCCCCGCACGCCCUGCCCCGCCUGGGCAGUGUCCCUCGUGUCCGCCUGCCUUCCCCGCUCUGACCCUGGCGCCUGCAGGUGCGACUGGUGAUCGCCGAGAAGGGCCUGGCAUGUGAGGAGCGGGACGUGAGCCUGCCGCAGAGCGAGCACAAGGAGCCCUGGUUCAUGCGGCUCAACCUGGGCGAGGAGGUGCCUGUCAUCAUCCACCGGGACAACAUCAUCAGCGACUACAACCAGAUUAUCGACUACGUAGAGCGCACCUUCACGGGAGAGCACGUGGUGGCCCUGAUGCCCGAGGUGGGCAGCCCGCAGCACGCACGGGUGCUGCAGUACCGGGAGCUGCUGGACGCGCUGCCCAUGGACGCCUACACGCAUGGCUGCAUCCUGCACCCUGAGCUCACCACCGACUCCAUGAUCCCCAAGUACGCCACGGCCGAGAUCCGCAGACAUCUAGCCAACGCCACCACGGACCUCAUGAAACUGGACCACGAAGAGGAGCCCCAGCUCUCGGAGCCCUACCUGUCUAAGCAGAAGAAGCUCAUGGCCAAGAUCCUGGAGCAUGAUGACGUGAGCUACCUGAAGAAGAUCCUCGGGGAGCUGGCCAUGGUGCUCGACCAGAUCGAGGCCGAGCUGGAGAAGAGGAAGCUGGAGAACGAGGGGCAGAAGUGUGAGCUGUGGCUCUGUGGCUGUGCCUUCACCCUUGCCGACGUGCUCCUGGGGGCCACCCUGCACCGCCUCAAGUUCCUGGGACUGUCUAAGAAGUACUGGGAGGACGGCAGCCGGCCCAACCUGCGGUCCUUCUUUGAGCGCGUCCAGAGACGCUUUGCCUUCCGGAAAGUCCUGGGCGACGUCCACACCACCCUGCUGUCGGCGGUCAUCCCCAACGCGUUCCGGCUGGUCAAGCGGAAGCCCCCAUCGUUCUUCGGGGCGUCCUUCCUCAUGGGCUCCCUGGGCGGGAUGGGCUACUUCGCCUACUGGUACCUCAAGAAAAAAUACAUCUAGAGCCGCCGGGGCUCGCCUGACUGUCGGUGUCUGUGCUGUGUGAUUCCCAAUGACCUCAGAAACCCACUGUCCCUCCAACACUGGACAGCACUUCCCGCCCCUCGUUCUGAGUAGUUCUGUCGUCGGUGUGAAAACAUUCCAUAGUUGUAGAAGUAGCCGUCGCCAAUGCUGUGACCUGAGGCCAUGGCUCUGCUAGAGAGAGAGAGAGAGAGAGAGAAACAAAACAGAAUGCCUUUUCUUUCGAUUCAAGGUCUCAACACGGAACUGUGGGGACUGGUUAGGAUCUGAGGACAAAGCCAACACCAAGACACACCUCUGCCAACCAGCACCUGGGGCUGGCUGGGGCUGGAGAGCCAGAGACCCCGUGGAGGCCCCUGAGGAUCAGAAGGGGCUUCAUUCUUCUCCUGGACAUGGACUAAGACAGCACUGGCCAAGGCAGUGGCACCCCAAGGCCUGACCAUGGCUGGGACAGACACCAUGAGCACACCCCCUCCUCCUGAGCGUGUCCAGUCUGGCGUUCAGUAGCAUGCCCUCGGGCAGCAGCCGUCAGCACUCCCUACCUUGAGUUGCUUUCCCACCCUGCAAUGUGGGACUUUCAGCAAAAGCCACGUUGGCCUUCUCUCAGAAGGUCAGUGCCAGCUCAAGUGCAGGGGUGGGUCCCUCUCCACCUCCUUUAAUGCCACCUUUCCCACAAUUCCAGGGGCUCCCCAUGCUGCAUGCAGGGGGGUCUCUGUCUCCAUGCUGCCCCCUUGGUCGGGUCUCACUUUCCUGUGCCUUUUGCUGUGUUGGGAAUGGGUCUGGGUGUCAGUGCCGCUCAUGCUUAGAAACCACUGAAAGCCCCCAAUAAAGCAUCCAGGAGGAGCAGUUGCUUUUCGUUUCUAAA
Non-coding RNA from Ictidomys tridecemlineatus (thirteen-lined ground squirrel), 3556 nucleotides. Lineage: Eukaryota; Metazoa; Chordata; Mammalia; Rodentia; Sciuridae. The record is from RefSeq and is a predicted model, not a curated record.